GACGAACGCUGGCGGCGUGCUUAACACAUGCAAGUCGAACGGUAAGGCCCUUCGGGGUACACGAGUGGCGAACGGGUGAGUAACACGUGGGUGAUCUGCCCUGCACUUCGGGAUAAGCCUGGGAAACUGGGUCUAAUACCGGAUAGGACCCUGGGAUGCAUGUCCUGGGGUGGAAAGCUUUUGCGGUGUGGGAUGGGCCCGCGGCCUAUCAGCUUGUUGGUGGGGUGAUGGCCUACCAAGGCGACGACGGGUAGCCGGCCGGAGAGGGUGACCGGCCACACUGGGACUGCGAUACGGCCCAGACUCCCACGGGAGGCAGCAGUGGGGAAUAUAGCACAAUGGGCGCAAGCCUGAUGCAGCGACGCCGCGUGAGGGAUGACGGCCUUCGGGUUGUAAACCUCUUUCAGCAUCGACGAAGCGAAAGUGACGGUAGGUGCAGAAGAAGGACCGGCCAACUACGUGCCAGCCGCCGCGGUAA
Molecule: ribosomal RNA, 478 nt
Filed under: uncultured bacterium
Lineage: Bacteria
Description: partial 16S ribosomal RNA
Rfam family: Bacterial small subunit ribosomal RNA
Source: RNAcentral